GGAGAGGUAGCCAAGUGGUCGUACGGCGUCGGUCCUGAAAACCGAUUGGGCGCAAGUCCACGUGGGUUCGAAUCCCACCCUCUCCGCUA
RNAcentral lists this transfer RNA (89 nucleotides) under Candidatus Daviesbacteria bacterium RIFCSPHIGHO2_01_FULL_38_8. RNAcentral describes it as "tRNA-Ser". It matches the Rfam family "tRNA". Rfam says of the family: Transfer RNA (tRNA) molecules are approximately 80 nucleotides in length. Their secondary structure includes four short double-helical elements and three loops (D, anti-codon, and T loops). The record is from RNAcentral. Lineage: Bacteria; Candidatus Daviesiibacteriota.